RNAcentral lists this ribosomal RNA (431 nucleotides) under uncultured bacterium. Its description in RNAcentral is "bacterial SSU rRNA". It matches the Rfam family "Bacterial small subunit ribosomal RNA", at positions 29 to 506 of the family's 1533-position model. The record is from RNAcentral.
ACGAACGCUGGCGGCAGGCUUAACACAUGCAAGUCGAGCGCCCUCUUCGGGGGGAGCGGCGAACGGGUGAGUAACGCGUGGGAACGUGCCCUUUCCUCCGGAAUAGCCUCGGGAAACUGAGAUUAAUGCCGGAUACGCCCUUUUGGGGAAAGAUUUAUCGGGGAAGGAUCGGCCCGCGUUGGAUUAGGUAGUUGGUGGGGUAACGGCCUACCAAGCCGACGAUCCAUAGCUGGUUUGAGAGGAUGAUCAGCCACACUGGGACUGAGACACGGCCCAGACUCCUACGGGAGGCAGCAGUGGGGAAUCUUGGACAAUGGGGGCAACCCUGAUCCAGCCAUGCCGCGUGAUCGAUGAAGGCCUUAGGGUUGUAAAGAUCUUUCAGCGAGGAAGAUAAUGACGGUACUCGCAGAAGAAGCCCCGGCUAACUCCGU